This 253-nucleotide ribosomal RNA is filed under the name uncultured bacterium. Its description in RNAcentral is "partial 16S ribosomal RNA". It matches the Rfam family "Bacterial small subunit ribosomal RNA", at positions 524 to 776 of the family's 1533-position model. The record is from RNAcentral.
UACGUAGGGGGCAAGCGUUGUCCGGAUUUAUUGGGCGUAAAGAGCGUGUAGGCGGCCAGACAGGUCCGUUGUGAAAACUCGAGGCUCAACCUCGAGACGUCGGCGGAAACCAUCUGGCUAGAGUCCGGAAGAGGAGAGUGGAAUUCCUGGUGUAGCGGUGAAAUGCGCAGAUAUCAGGAAGAACACCCGUGGCGAAGGCGGCUCUCUGGGACGGUACUGACGCCGAGACGCGAAAGCGUGGGGAGCGAACAGG